UAACACGUAAACAACCUGCCUUCAGGAUGGGGACAACAGACGGAAACGACUGCUAAUACCGAAUAAGUUCCAAGGACCGCAUGGCCCAUGGAAGAAAAGGUGGCCUCUACCUGUAAGCUAUCGCCUGAAGAGGGGUUUGCGUCUGAUUAGCUGGUUGGAGGGGUAACGGCCCACCAAGGCGACGAUCAGUAGCCGGUCUGAGAGGAUGAACGGCCACACUGGAACUGAGACACGGACCAG
Molecule: ribosomal RNA, 240 nt
Filed under: uncultured bacterium
Lineage: Bacteria
Description: partial 16S ribosomal RNA
Rfam family: Bacterial small subunit ribosomal RNA
Source: RNAcentral